UGAAUUGUUUAUUUUAUUUUGUGUGAAAAUUUAAAAAAAUUAUAAUGAUUAGAUGAGAUGAAUUGAGUUGAAAAGUUUUAUGACUAGUACUCAACAAACAGAAAUCUCCAUUGUCAAUAUAAUAGCUUAGAAUUGAGGACUAAACCCACAUGCACGUUCUUUAAUAAUCCCCUACCAUGCUAUUUACUCAUAAAACAUAUCAAUUUAUUCAGCCAAACUUCCACAACCUGAGAGACGGAUUCAUCAAUCAUUCAAACUAGUUUUCACACUUUGGCAAUAAUAUGUCCAAACCAGAUUUUCAAGACUAUGCUUUUACACAAAUCAAAUCCACAAGCAUUCCUAUCAAACGCUAGAAUCUAUUCAGACCAGAGCAUAAACGUGGGGCUAGUAUGUAUUCCCAUUGCUCGUUAAUAGCUCACGUUGAAACGGACGGUGAUGUUGGAACAGCACGGUGGUGCGGCUGUCUUUGGGCGUUGUACUGGAGUAGAGAAAUUGGCCACCAUCAGUAACGGGAAGUGUUGGGAAUAAAUAGAGAGAGAGAGAGAUUGGAACCCAGAUAUAUAGACAGGGCAGAGGGAAAGUAGCGCGUCUUACUGAAAUGGGAAACCGAGCAGAGAGGAGGGAAGAGAGAGCUUGCGGUGCGACGUGUGACUGGGUUCGGCACGGCAGAAUGGCACAAGGUCACGAUGGUCGAGUGUGGUUGCGGCAUAAGAGAGAAAAUAGAGUGCGAGAGAGAG
Long non-coding RNA from Juglans microcarpa x Juglans regia, 737 nucleotides. RefSeq lists it as uncharacterized. NCBI's taxonomy places the organism in Eukaryota, Viridiplantae, Streptophyta, Magnoliopsida, Fagales, Juglandaceae. The transcript has 2 exons. The record is from RefSeq and is a predicted model, not a curated record.